UGGGGAAUAUUGGACAAUGGGGGGAACCCUGAUCCAGCCAUGCCGCGUGUGUGAAGAAGGCCUUAUGGUUGUAAAGCACUUUAAGCGAGGAGGAGGGUACUGGUAUUAAUACUACCAGGUACUGGACGUUACUCGCAGAAUAAGCACCGGCUAACUCUGUGCCAGCAGCCGCGGUAAUACAGAGGGUGCGAGCGUUAAUCGGAUUUACUGGGCGUAAAGCGUGCGUCGGCGGCUAAUUGAGUCGGAUGUGAAAUCCGCGAGCUUAACUUGGGAAUUGGAUUGGAUAAUGGUUAGGUAGAGUGUGGGAGAGGAUGGUAGAAUUACAGGUGUAGCGGUGAAAUGCGGAGAGAUCUGGAGGAAUAAAGAUGGCGAAGGCAGCCAUCUGGCCUAACACGGACGCUGAGGUACGAAAGCAUGGGGAGCAAACAGG
RNAcentral lists this ribosomal RNA (430 nucleotides) under Pseudomonadota bacterium. RNAcentral's name for it is "Proteobacteria bacterium partial 16S ribosomal RNA". It matches the Rfam family "Bacterial small subunit ribosomal RNA", at positions 355 to 776 of the family's 1533-position model. Lineage: Bacteria; Pseudomonadati; Pseudomonadota. The record is from RNAcentral.